This 515-nucleotide ribosomal RNA is filed under the name uncultured bacterium. RNAcentral describes it as "partial 16S ribosomal RNA". It matches the Rfam family "Bacterial small subunit ribosomal RNA", at positions 28 to 523 of the family's 1533-position model. The record is from RNAcentral.
GAUGAACGCUGGCGGCGUGCCUAAUACAUGCAAGCCGAGCGAAUGGAUUAAGAGCUUGCUCUUAUGAAGUUAGCGGCGGACGGGUGAGUAACACGUGGGUAACCUGCCCAUAAGACUGGGAUAACUCCGGGAAACCGGGGCUAAUACCGGAUAACAUUUUGAACCGCAUGGUUCGAAAUUGAAAGGCGGCUUCGGCUGUCACUUAUGGAUGGACCCGCGUCGCAUUAGCUAGUUGGUGAGGUAACGGCUCACCAAGGCAACGAUGCGUAGCCGACCUGAGAGGGUGAUCGGCCACACUGGGACUGAGACACGGCCCAGACUCCUACGGGAGGCAGCAGUAGGGAAUCUUCCGCAACGGACGAAAGUCUGACGGGGCAACGCCGCGUGAGUGAUGAAGGCUUUCGGGUCGUAAAACUCUGUUGUUAGGGAAGAACAAGUGCUAGUUGAAUAAGCUGGCACCUUGACGGUACCUAACCAGAAAGCCACGGCUAACUACGUGCCAGCCGCCGCAGUAA